Molecule: ribosomal RNA, 478 nt
Filed under: uncultured bacterium
Lineage: Bacteria
Description: partial 16S ribosomal RNA
Rfam family: Bacterial small subunit ribosomal RNA
Source: RNAcentral
GACGAACGCUGGCGGCGUGCUUAACACAUGCAAGUCGAACGGUAAGGCCCUUCGGGGUACACGAGUGGCGAACGGGUGAGUAACACGUGGGUGAUCUGCCCUGCACUUCGGGAUAAGCCUGGGAAACUGGGUCUAAUACCGGAUAGGACCACUGCCUGCAUGGGGGGUGGUGGAAAGCUUUUGCGGUGUGGGAUGGGCCCGCGGCCUAUCGGCUUGUUGGUGGGGUGAUGGCCUACCAAGGAGACGACGGGUAGCCGGCCUGAGAGGGUGACCGGCCACACUGGGAGUGAGAUACGGCCCAGACUCCUACGGGGGGCAGCAGUGGGGAAUAUUGCACAAUGGGCGCAAGCCUGAUGCAGCGACGCCGCGUGAGGGAUGACGGCCUUCGGGUUGUAAACCUCUUUCAGCACCGACGAAGCGCAAGUGACGGUAGGUGCAGAAGAAGGACCGGCCAACUACGUGCCAGCAGCCGCCGUAA